AGAGUUUGAUCCUGGCUCAGGACGAACGCUGGCGGCGUGCUUAACACAUGCAAGUCGAGCGGUAAGGCCCUUCGGGGUACACGAGCGGCGAACGGGUGAGUAACACGUGGGUGACCUGCCCUCUACUCUGGGAUAAGCCUGGGAAACUGGGUCUAAUACCGGAUAUGACUACAUGUCGCAUGGUGUGUGGUGGAAAGCCAGUUACUUUGGUUUCUGGUGGUGGGGGAUGGGCCCGCGGCCUAUCAGCUUGUUGGUGGGGUGAUGGCCCACCAAGGCGACGACGGGUAGCCGGCCUGAGAGGGCGACCGGCCACACUGGGACUGAGACACGGCCCAGACUCCUACGGGAGGCAGCAGUGGGGAAUAUUGCGCAAUGGGCGGAAGCCUGACGCAGCGACGCCGCGUGGGGGAUGACGGCCUUCGGGUUGUAAACCUCUUUCGGCCCCGACGAAGCGUGAGUGACGGUAGGGGUAGAAGAAGCACCGGCCAACUACGUGCCAGCAGCCGCGGUAACACGUAGGGUGCGAGCGUUGUCCGGAAUUAUUGGGCGUAAAGAGCUCGUAGGCGGUGUGUCGCGUCGGCCGUGAAAACCUGCAGCUUAACUGUGGGCUUGCGGUCGAUACGGGCAUCACUGGAGUUCGGCAGGGGAGACUGGAAUUCCUGGUGUAGCGGUGAAAUGCGCAGAUAUCAGGAGGAACACCGGUUGCGAAGGC
This 712-nucleotide ribosomal RNA is filed under the name uncultured bacterium. RNAcentral's name for it is "bacterial SSU rRNA". It matches the Rfam family "Bacterial small subunit ribosomal RNA", at positions 8 to 722 of the family's 1533-position model. The record is from RNAcentral.